This 256-nucleotide ribosomal RNA is filed under the name uncultured bacterium. RNAcentral describes it as "partial 16S ribosomal RNA". It matches the Rfam family "Bacterial small subunit ribosomal RNA", at positions 524 to 776 of the family's 1533-position model. The record is from RNAcentral.
GACAGAGGGUGCAAACGUUUGUUCGGAAUUACUGGGGCGUAAAGCGCGCGUAGGCGGCUUGGCAAGUCGGAUGUGAAAUCCCUCGGCUCAACCAAGGAAGUGCAUCCGAAACUGCCGAGCUUGAGUACUUAAGAGGAUCGCGGAAUUCCCGGUGUAGAGGUGAAAUUCGUAGAUAUCGGGAGGAACACCGGUGGCGAAGGCGGCCAUCUGGACGGAUACUGACGCUGAGACGCGAAAAGCGUGGGUAGCAAACAGG